This is a long non-coding RNA of Triticum dicoccoides, 689 nucleotides long. RefSeq lists it as uncharacterized. The transcript is spliced from 5 exons. NCBI's taxonomy places the organism in Eukaryota, Viridiplantae, Streptophyta, Magnoliopsida, Poales, Poaceae. The record is from RefSeq and is a predicted model, not a curated record.
GUUCGCUGGAGGAAGAAGCGCCGAGUUCGCCGAAGGAACAAGCGCCGAGUUCGCCGGAGGAACAAGAACGCCCGCCGAGUCCUGUGGUGGCUACACGAGAGGCCCUUAAGAUGAGUAAUGAACAUCCGUUGAGCCGUCCAAUGUUGCCUGUGGCAACUACACCGGAGCCAUCGUCUCCUUUGACUUCACCGCCAUCGUCUCCAUCGACUUCGCCGCAAGACAAUCUGCCACCGCCUCCGCCGAUUUUGCCGGAAGACCAUCAGCCGUCGCCUAGACCUACUUUGAGAAAAUAGAUGACAGCACUGUAACUUAAUAUUACACAGAACAUUGAAGAGGACUUUGAUAACCGACCUUCAAAAAAAGAAAAAAAUUCUGAAUCAAGUGUUCUGGAGCCAUCACCUAUGUCACCAACUAUGUCAACAUGUACUCCAGUUUCUGAGUGUUUUGAAUCGAUUGUGCCAAAAUCAGAUAAUCAGAUAGAUUGUGGUCCAUUGCCAUCACCUCCAUCCCCAUCUAGCUCGACAUUAUCAAGAACAUCGGUCGAGCCGUACAAUGGCGCCUGCAGCGGUUACACCAGAGGUACCUACUCUUGCUACGAUCCAUGGCUUACGUACUGUACUUCUAUAGAUCCUUUUUGGCAUAAUGAGCUAUGUGCAGGCUCUCCAUUUUGGCUAUAUUCAUUUCCGUAA